This 427-nucleotide ribosomal RNA is filed under the name uncultured prokaryote. Its description in RNAcentral is "bacterial SSU rRNA". It matches the Rfam family "Bacterial small subunit ribosomal RNA", at positions 355 to 796 of the family's 1533-position model. The record is from RNAcentral.
UGGGGAAUUUUCCGCAAUGGGCGAAAGCCUGACGGAGCAAUACCGCGUGAGGGAGGAAGGCUUUUGGGUUGUAAACCUCUUUUUUCAAGGAAGAAGCAAGUGACGGUACUUGAAGAAUCAGCAUCGGCUAACUCCGUGCCAGCAGCCGCGGUAAUACGGAGGAUGCAAGCGUUAUCCGGAAUCAUUGGGCGUAAAGCGUCCGCAGGUGGCGUAUCAAGUCUGCUGUCAAAGACAGAAGCUCAACUUCUGGCAGGCAGUGGAAACUGGUAAGCUAGAGUACGGUAGGGGUUGAGGGAAUUCCCAGUGUAGCGGUGAAAUGCGUAGAUAUUGGGAAGAACACCAGUGGCGAAGGCGCUCAGCUGGGCCGUAACUGACACUGAGGGACGAAAGCUAGGGGAGCGAAAGGGAUUAGAUACCCCCGUAGUCC